CCUUCCACUAUGGUCUACAUGGUAAAUUUUCUAACCUUAACAACAAUAGUACAAUUAUAGAAGUCGUGUGCCCCUUUGCAGGAAUGAGGGGGGGAGGGAGGGUGAGAGUCGUUUGGUAUGGACGUCGAAAUCCAUGUAGAACAGUUAUAAAAGUUAACAACAAUUAUAGACCUCAUUUUGCUCUGUGACAGAUUUCCUAACCUCAAUAGAUGCCAACUUUAAGACUUAAUAUCUCAGUCCGUGGAGCAGAGCAACUCUUUUUUUCUAUCAGAUUCUUUCAUUUUAUGCAAAAACGUCGAAUAAGCCUAAUUUGAUUUUGGAGAUGAUUGCACUAAACUGUAUAUCACUUUUAUACAUAAAUAUCUAAGAGAUUUUAAAUUCAAAUGAUUAAAGAAAUACAACCGGUCAAAAGAACACCAUGUUCCCUAGUAUUAUUAGUAUUUAUAUAGUAGUUGAGAACUUCUCGAAAAAAGAACAGACCUCUUCAGCAAUUAUUAAUUAAAUGACUUUAAUAAUCUAAGCACGAUAGUAUCAACAUAUAAAAAAAAAGAAAAACUGAUAGAAAGCCAUUUACUCAGAAGCAGUUGACAAAGCUAAAGAACAUAUUGCUGCAGAUCACAGAAGAGCUGCAGCUCGAUUUGUGGGAGCAAAUGAAGCAACAUUAGAAAGAGAUUAAAAGCAUGUUAUGCUGCGCUGCAGUAGAGUGCUUGGAAAUCGGCCACAAUCCAUACAAUCGAGAUUCUUUGUUAUCAAGCAAGACCGAGAUAAAUUCUGAUAAUAUAGAAAUUAAAACAGAUAUGUGUGCUGAUGAGAUGAUAAUAGAUGACAGCAGAAUACAAGAAUUCAAAAGAGAAUGGGAAGGAGAUAAGAUCCUUGGCUCAGCGGAUGACAAUGGAAAACUUAUGUACUUGAUACAAUGAUAUGUAGUACGUCCUACUGGUUAACGUGAUUAGUCAUCACCUGCCUCUAAUUGGCAAGAUGUCUGCAAAGAAUAAAAAAAAUCGAAGUUCAAAUCCUGAUCAAGGAAAGGAACGGAUGCAGUUGAUAUGGUGUCUGCCAGUGUUCUCAGAUUGUUAUUCAAUUUUAUGAGGAUAGAAUAACCUGGAAAAGGACAAAAAUAAAACCGUAAUGGAUUAGCUUCCUUGGAAAAGCCAGAUUCCACAUUUUUUGGAAAAUUGACUUUUAUUGUGAUGUAUGUAUGCAGUUAAAAUCUUAUUAUAAAUGUUUUGAAGC
This is a long non-coding RNA of Atta colombica, 1233 nucleotides long. RefSeq lists it as uncharacterized. The record is from RefSeq and is a predicted model, not a curated record. Lineage: Eukaryota; Metazoa; Arthropoda; Insecta; Hymenoptera; Formicidae. The transcript has 4 exons.